RNAcentral lists this ribosomal RNA (395 nucleotides) under uncultured bacterium. Its description in RNAcentral is "bacterial SSU rRNA". It matches the Rfam family "Bacterial small subunit ribosomal RNA", at positions 957 to 1353 of the family's 1533-position model. The record is from RNAcentral.
UAACGCGAAGAACCUUACCAGGUCUUGACAUCUUCUGAUAGCCUAAGAGAUUAGGUGUUCCCUUCGGGGACAGAAUGACAGGUGGUGCAUGGUUGUCGUCAGCUCGUGUCGUGAGAUGUUGGGUUAAGUCCCGUAACGAGCGCAACCCUUAUUGUCAGUUGCCAGCAUUAAGUUGGGCACUCUGGCAAGACUGCCGGUGACAAACCGGAGGAAGGUGGGGAUGACGUCAAAUCAUCAUGCCCCUUAUGACCUGGGCUACACACGUGCUACAAUGGACGAUACAACGAGUCGCUAGACCGCGAGGUUAAGCUAAUCUCUGAAAGUCGUUCUCAGUUCGGAUUGCAGGCUGCAACUCGCCUGCAUGAAGUCGGAAUCGCUAGUAAUCGCGGAUCAGC